UCUCUCCUGGAAAACGGGUGGUAAUGCCGGAUGCUCCAGUUGAUCGCAUGGUCUUCUGGGAAAGCUUUCGCGGUAUGGGAUGGGGUCGCGUCCUAUCAGCUUGACGGCGGGGUAACGGCCCACCGUGGCUUCGACGGGUAGCCGGCCUGAGAGGGCGACCGGCCACAUUGGGACUGAGAUACGGCCCAGACUCCUACGGGAGGCAGCAGUGGGGAAUAUUGCACAAUGGGCGCAAGCCUGAUGCAGCGACGCCGCGUGAGGGAUGGAGGCCUUCGGGUUGUAAACCUCUUUUAUCGGGGAGCAAGCGAGAGUGAGUUUACCCGUUGAAUAAGCACCGGCUAACUACGUGCCAGCAGCCGCGGUAAUACGUAGGGUGCAAGCGUUAUCCGGAAUUAUUGGGCGUAAAGGGCUCGUAGGCGGUUCGUCGCGUCCGGUGUGAAAGUCCAUCGCUUAACGGUGGAUCCGCGCCGGGUACGGGCGGGCUUGAGUGCGGUAGGGGAGACUGGAAUUCCCGGUGUAACGGUGGAAUGUGUAGAUAUCGGGAAAAGAACACCACGCG
RNAcentral lists this ribosomal RNA (559 nucleotides) under Bifidobacterium longum subsp. suillum. Its description in RNAcentral is "bacterial SSU rRNA". It matches the Rfam family "Bacterial small subunit ribosomal RNA", at positions 144 to 715 of the family's 1533-position model. The record is from RNAcentral. Lineage: Bacteria; Bacillati; Actinomycetota; Actinomycetes; Bifidobacteriales; Bifidobacteriaceae.